Long non-coding RNA from Mya arenaria, 2016 nucleotides. RefSeq lists it as uncharacterized. The transcript has 2 exons. NCBI's taxonomy places the organism in Eukaryota, Metazoa, Mollusca, Bivalvia, Myida, Myidae. The record is from RefSeq and is a predicted model, not a curated record.
CAUAACCAAGUAUAGCAAUAAAUAAUAUAUAAUAAACUUGAAUUUGAUAUACUCUUUUGGUUGCAUUUUUAACUGUAAACAUGGUACACAGUUGAUUAUUGUGUUCGAAUGAAAAGUGGACCUUAAGCUAAGCAGUAUGAAGGAGUUUACAUACACAAAAACGUACUGACUUUGAAAAAAAUUCUCCGUUAUUUUUUAUCAGAACGGUUUCGCAAACCAAAACGAAAUUGUUCUAUAAUUACAGGGUCAACCAGUAAUAUAGUGGUCGGUGUGGUUAUUGCUGUUACAUUGCUUGUGGCUGGAGUACUUGCAGUUAUGAUUAAGAGAAGGAGCAAGCUGAAUGCCUGCUUUAAUAACGCUGCUUCAGAUAUGACUUCAUGCCAGCCAUCCACAGGGGUGUCCACUGUUGUUGGCAAUCAACAACGAGUAGAAUAUGCUAACACAAUAAGUGAUAAUGAAAUGCACGAAAACACUGAAAACAGUAUGGAAGCUACAUCUUACGAAAAACUUACCAUGACUACGGGUGAUGACAAUUACCUCUCAAUCCAAGAAUUCGAUGCAGUCCGGCAAGACUAUCAAAAUACAUGAAUGCAAAGAUGAUGUUUAUUUUGUUUUUGCUUUAUUUAUUAUUUAUUUUUAUCACUUGCAAGGAUUGUAUGUAUAUAUGGUAGAUCGAAAUAUCAUGUUACGUUUCAUGAUUCAACCUAUUUACACAUAUAUUUAUCAGUUAAUUACAAUAGUUUGAUCUAAACUGACUUAAUAGAAUACAUAGUAUACUUACAACUGAAACGUAUCCAUGUAAUUUUCAUCGUAUUUUUAAAAAAACAUAUUAAACAUAUCGUAUGUGUAAAAGUUUGAUAUAACAUGGAAAAUGAUCACAGAAAGCAACAUUUUCACGAGUGGCGAAGGCAUGAGUUUCUACGAUCACGGGUUCAGUAAAUUUUAAUCUUCAUUAAAAUCAAUUACAUUAAACAACAGAAAUUUUCAAAUAAGUUUCUAUAAUAUAAUUAUAGUUAUUUACGAACUUCUUUUUUUUUCUAAUUAUUUAAUCCUAAGUGGGCCAUUAACACACGCUUGUAGUAUACCUCGUUAUAUUUCGUUAUAAACUGAAAUGCUGAUGUACUAAUUGAAAAUAAUAGAUUUCUAUAUUGUUUCAAACUAGCUUACUUUAUAACCGUCCACAUUGCAUUGUAUAACUUGCAUUUUAUGUGUGCCAUGGCACAUUCGGACAGUGUUGUUAAUGCUGAUGCUAGGGGUGGAACAGGUCAAUACGAUGCCCAGCCAGACAGCAGGGUGUUGUGACCCGAUUCCAUUUUGAACAUGUUGACAUUCUGAGGGGUAAAAAUAUCCUAAACUGACUCUAGAUUUGCAUUUGUCAAAAGUGAAAUUCAGAUAGACUUUACGCCACCCGGUAAUAACAAGCAUAUAGUGAACCUUUAUUGAACAUAAACAUAGUAUUAUAGCUGCCCUCGAUAAGUUUGUGUAAAAAUUAAUUCGUUUUCCUCACCGCUGGUGCGACGUUAUAUCCAUAUUCCUUGCAUUUAUUGAUCGUAAGUUUUUUAUACGCGCACAAUUACAGCCAUUUUGUUAUGCAACUUUCGCUGUUUAAGGUAUACAUCUAUUAUGCAUUUUACAAACCAUCCAUUUUGAUUAAAAUGAUAUACAGCAUUUGCAGAACAACCAUUUAUUUAGGAUAUCAAGGACAGAUAACAAUAUUGACAAAGUAGGGUGACUACUGUGUGUUAUCUCGCUUGGAUUGCCAUACCAGAACAAUAUUAAAUCGCGUUAUACUGCAUGAACAAGCAUCGCAAGAUUCAUGAUUAAUAUAACAAAUAUGUUACAUUAUAUUUAAUAAAUAAUGAACACUGUUUUAACAGAACGUGGUUACCUCCGAAGGACGUAGUUUUUAGUGACCCUAAAUACAUAUUAUGAUUUGAAUGCAUGUUUAUUACUGUAUGUAUAAUUGUACUCAUUUCGAGUUUUGUUUCGCCUAAAAUCAUUAAACUUUAAACUUUA